This 1319-nucleotide long non-coding RNA is filed under the name Triticum aestivum (bread wheat). RNAcentral's name for it is "long non-coding RNA (TAES_LNC000609)". The record is from RNAcentral. Lineage: Eukaryota; Viridiplantae; Streptophyta; Magnoliopsida; Poales; Poaceae.
UUUCACAUGGCUAAAACAUUUUGCAAUUCAUAUAUAAACCCAAAACAAUAUAAUGAUACAUUUAUAAAACUCUCUGCCGUUCAUGUAUAAACCAAAAUCAAUAUAGUGAUGCAUUCCUAAAACCCGUUGCAAUUGAUGUAUAAACCUUUUAGGAGUAUUGUAGAUUUUUCCUAAACACGUAUCUAGCAAGAAAGCAGACGGGCGCACAGCGUCCUGCCGACGCUGCCGGACCAAGGACCCAUGUGUCCCCCGCCCCCAUAAACCAGGCCAUGCACCACAGGUCCUGCACCGCGCCAGAUCUGGCCGGGCAAACGCCUGCCGGCCACCACCAAAGCAGGGAAGACCCCGCAGCCGCCACAAAUCACCGGGCCACAGGGGGAGAGCGGUGAAGUGUGAACCUGGAACCCCGACGGAGUCGAGAUGAAGGCGGCAAAGCUCCGACAAUGGCCAUCACAUGAUAAAUAAAGGGAAAAAACCCAAAUUAGCGGAUCUUCUACGCAUAUCCACUGCUAUAGAUUCAAAUAACACUAAUCGGAAAGCAAGGAUGUAGCUUUACAGGACCAACCAGUAGCUAAGAAAUCAGGGGCUAAACAAUUAUCUUGUCUAAGAGCUAGUACAUACUACAGAAUGAAUACUGCAACAAGAAUUAAUAGAACACUUGACCAGUCCAACCAAAUUAAUAGGUUAUAAUACUACACCAUGUCUUGACCAGCUCCAAACUAAAUUCUAUUUGGAUUUUGUGUAAACGAAGCCUAGUUAUACUACUACAAUAACCUAGAACCACUAAAGCACCCACAAACAUUCACAGUAUCCUCAUCUUGAUGAAAGCAAAAAUGUAUCAUAUAGCACGCACGCACACAAAUACUCACAGUAUCCUCAUCUUGAUGAAAGCGAAAAUGUAUAAUAUAGCACGCGCGCACACAAACAGUCACAUUAUCCUCAUCUUGCUGAAAGCAAAAAAUGUAAAUACAUACCUUGACCUGGAACAGUAUGGUCCAGUUUCAGUUGACAGUCUUGAUGAUUCAUGUUGGCCUUUAGAUAUGUUUUUGAACAACAAUUUUUCUUGCUGCUUGUAGAAGACAACAUCCUUCACAUAACCACCAUCUAAGCACUCCGCCAAUGGAAGGCCAUCAGUGAUACAGGCUAUCAUUGUCAGCUUCACCAUUUCAAAAAGAUAACAAGACACAAGCAAAAGUGCCACCUGCACAAAAAAGCAGAGGAGAGCUAGUAAAUACUUGUAACACUAGUGCACUUUGAGCUUGGAUGCGUCGCGACAGCCAAGCCUUGCCGCAUACCAUCAUUUACAUGACUAAGCAAAC